UCUUCGGCAAUGGACGAAAGUCUGACCGAGCAACGCCGCGUGAGUGAAGAAGGUUUUCGGAUCGUAAAACUCUGUUGUUAGAGAAGAACAGGGAGGAGAAGAGAAUGUUCAUCCCUUGACGGUAUCUAACCAGAAAGCCACGGCUAACUUCCUUACAGCAGCCGCGGUAAUACGUAGGUGGCAAGCGUUGUCCGGAUUUAUUGGGCGUAAAGCGAGCGCAGGCGGUUCUUUAAGUCUGAUGUGAACGCCCCCGGCUCAACCGGGGAGGGUCAUUGGAAACUGGGGAACUUGAGUGCAGAAGAGGAGAGUGGAAUUCCAUGUGUAGCGGUGAAAUGCGUAGAUAUAUGGAGGAACACCAGUGGCGAAGGCGGCUCUCUGGUCUGUAACUGACGCUGAGGCUCGAAAGCGUGGGUAGCAAACAGG
RNAcentral lists this ribosomal RNA (423 nucleotides) under uncultured bacterium. RNAcentral describes it as "bacterial SSU rRNA". It matches the Rfam family "Bacterial small subunit ribosomal RNA", at positions 362 to 776 of the family's 1533-position model. The record is from RNAcentral.